This 72-nucleotide transfer RNA is filed under the name Clonostachys rosea. It matches the Rfam family "tRNA". Rfam says of the family: Transfer RNA (tRNA) molecules are approximately 80 nucleotides in length. Their secondary structure includes four short double-helical elements and three loops (D, anti-codon, and T loops). Further hydrogen bonds mediate the characteristic L-shaped molecular structure. tRNAs have two regions of fundamental functional importance: the anti-codon, which is responsible for specific mRNA codon recognition, and the 3' end, to which the tRNAs corresponding amino acid is attached (by aminoacyl-tRNA synthetases). tRNAs cope with the degeneracy of the genetic code in two manners: having more than one tRNA (with a specific anti-codon) for a particular amino acid; and 'wobble' base-pairing, i.e. permitting non-standard base-pairing at the 3rd anti-codon position. Lineage: Eukaryota; Fungi; Ascomycota; Sordariomycetes; Hypocreales; Bionectriaceae. The record is from RNAcentral. RNAcentral also lists the same sequence under 5 other names.
GCCCUUAUAGCUCAGUGGUAGAGCGCAUCACUCGUAAUGAUGAGGUCCACGGUUCAAUCCCGUGUGGGGGCA